Molecule: ribosomal RNA, 253 nt
Filed under: uncultured bacterium
Lineage: Bacteria
Description: partial 16S ribosomal RNA
Rfam family: Bacterial small subunit ribosomal RNA
Source: RNAcentral
GACAGAGGUGCCGAGCGUUAGGCGGAAUCACUGGGCUUAAAGCGUGUGUAGGCGGAUGGGUAAGUACCUUGUGAAAUCCCACGGCUCAACCGUGGAACUGCUCGGUAUACUGCUCAUCUUGAGCCAACUAGGGGCGACCGGAACAAACGGUGGAGCGGUGAAAUGCGUAGAUAUCGUUUGGAACGCCGAUGGUGAAAACAGGUCGCUGGGGUUGUGCUGACGCUGAGACACGAAAGCCAGGGGAGCAAACGGG